CGGUGCUGGAAGGUUAAGGGGAUCUGUUAGAGCAAUCGAAGCAGUGAACUUAAGCCCCAGUAAACGGCGGCCGUAACUAUAACGGUCCUAAGGUAGCGAAAUUCCUUGUCGGGUAAGUUCCGACCCGCACGACAGGCGUAACGAUUUGGGCACUGUCUCAACAACAGAAUCGGUGAAAUUGUAAUUCCGGUGAGGAUGCCGGAUACCUGAGACAGGACGGAAAGACCCGAUGGAGCUUUACUGUCGCAUGGCAGUGGGGCUCGGUACUACAUGUACAGGAUAGGUGGGAGGCUUUGAAACCAGGACG
RNAcentral lists this ribosomal RNA (307 nucleotides) under Clostridioides difficile. RNAcentral's name for it is "bacterial LSU rRNA". It matches the Rfam family "Bacterial large subunit ribosomal RNA", at positions 1864 to 2170 of the family's 2925-position model. Lineage: Bacteria; Bacillati; Bacillota; Clostridia; Peptostreptococcales; Peptostreptococcaceae. The record is from RNAcentral.